CACACCGCCCGUCACGCCAUGGGAGUUUGUUGCACCAGAAGCAGGUAGCUUAACCUUCGGGAGGGCGCUUGCCACGGUGUGGCCGAUGACUGGGGUG
Molecule: ribosomal RNA, 97 nt
Filed under: uncultured bacterium
Lineage: Bacteria
Description: partial 16S ribosomal RNA
Rfam family: Bacterial small subunit ribosomal RNA
Source: RNAcentral